This 447-nucleotide long non-coding RNA is filed under the name Junco hyemalis (dark-eyed junco). RNAcentral describes it as "lncRNA (ENSJHYG00000005315.1)". Lineage: Eukaryota; Metazoa; Chordata; Aves; Passeriformes; Passerellidae. The record is from RNAcentral.
GUCCAGGUGAGCAUGGCAAGGUGUUUCCUGUGGAGCCACUAACCAGUGGUUGAGCAGGCUUGUAGGGAGGUUCUGCUCCUUCCCCAGCCCUUGCCCUGCUCUGGCUCCAUCCGUGGGCAGCGUUCUCUCUGAGCUGCUGAGGUUCCUCAGCCUCCCCAUGGCAGGAAUGGAGGUGUGGAGGUCUCCUCUGGGCUCCAGCAGCAGAACAGGCUGGUGAGGGCUGGCUCCAAAGAGGUGAGACCUUCCUACACCAGUGCUGGGGAGGCAGGAGCGAGAGGAGAGCUCCAGGAGCCAUCUCAGGAGCUGAGUAGCCUCUCACAGGAUCCACGUGGUGACGUGGCAGCCAAGACGUGGAAGUUUGGGACUCCUCUUCCACCGCAGCAGAAUUUGGGGGGUGGGCAGGGGUGGGUCAGGGGGACACUGGGAGUCGCAAGACCCUUCACCUUC